AUGACCAUAUCAGAUUUCCUGGCCUCAGAUGCUAGUUUUCUCAUAGUUUUCUUAUUUCAAAUAUCAUUAUUCCCUUUUCUCCUCGCCCCGUCAGGCCUGACCUCUAUGCUAAACAGGCCGGCUCACAAAGUCCCCGCUGACUCUCAGCAAAGCAAAGCUCCACCCUCCCACCCUCCCCCCUCCACCCUGACUACACCACCACCAACAACAACAACAACAGCAGCAGUAGCACCACCUCAAGCCAUGGGCAACCCUCCUCCCUCUCUGCCCUCCACACCUCCUCCAUCAGCCUUUGCGGCGAGGCAGAGGGCCGCCCCUCGGCCUGAAGUCCCCGUUCCCCCCCGUGGGGCCCUGCCGGCCCCCAGUGCGGCCCCCGCAGCCGCCCGUGCAGCCUCAGCCCUGGUGCAGGCCCUUCACCGGGACAUGGACCUGGCCCCGGAGCCCGAGCCGGCAGCGGGGGCGGCGGGGACGGCGGUGGCCUCCGACAGCCUGGAGUCCAAGAUCCACAGCUUCCUGCAGGGCAACCCGGGCUUCAGCGCUUUCAACCUGAGCUUCGGCGGCGACGCCGCGAAGACGGCGGCGGCGGCGGGCAGCCACAACCUCAGCCCCGGGGCCGGAACAGACACCCGCGACGGGACCCCCGUCCGGGACGAGGGCGGGGGCACGCCUACUCAGGAUGAGGUCAUGGACAACCAGGCAGCGCAGAAGUUCGCCUCGGAGCCGCCGCCGCCGCAGGGUACAAAACUGUCUGCCCAAGCGGCGGGGGACAUCUCGUUGCCUGGCACUUACCAGAACAACACCUCGCGUGCGCCCGGUGACCCCCCACAGCAGCCCCCCCGCAUGCAGCAGCAUCAAGGGGAGCCCCACAACGGCCAGGGCUACCAGCCGUACCGAGCCGCCGGCCAGGAGAUGGCUCUCCCUGGGGCGGCGGCCCCCGCUGGACACUACCAAGCCUUUACUACAGAGCAGGGGUCCCGCCUGCCGCUCCUGGGGGGCGGCCCGGGCACUGGCGGCGGCGGCCCACCCGGGGAGGGCUUCCGGGACGACGGACACAGGGGCUGGUACGAGAGUACCAGGGGCCGGGGCGUGGUCGCACCAGGGACCGGUGAAGAGCCACCGGGACGGUACCACUACCGCCAGGACCCCCAUCAGGAGCCACACAGCGUGGCUGCUCCACAGGGUCCCGGACCCCCCUCCGAGUUUUACAACAGUAACCUCCCGCCGGUGCCCAGGCUACCCCCGCCGCCCGCGGGCUUCGACGAGCCCCACGCCGCAGCCGCCGGCGAGCGUCGUCCCGCCCUCGCCCCGGAGAUGGAGGGCGCUCCGAGGCCCCAGGCGGGCAGCAUCAUCAGCGGGAUGGUGGUCCACGACCACCAGCACAAGUCCGUCUUCGGCCUCGACGACCCCCUUUACGAUCGCCGUGACGACCACUACCGUCGCCCCGAGGACCUGGCUCACCCGGACGACCCGCGCUACCAGGACGACCUCGGGCACUACCGCGAGGGCCCCUAUCGCCCCGCCGCUCCCCCUUACGGGGACGAAGGGCCCCCCUUCCGGCCGCCCCGGGAGCCUUACUUCCGCCCGGAGGAUCCCUACUUCCGAGAGGACAGCCCGCCCCAUGGGUACCCCAGGGGGGCGCUCUCCCCGUCCGAGGGCUUCCCCUAUGACUUUCACCCCCAUGGGUCCCCUCCCCUCUCGCACCAGAGGAGGCCGCCGCCGCCCCCCCAUUCUGAAAUGCGCCACCCUGGCCCGCGACCCCCCCUCCGCCCCAUGCUCCACCCAGGACACCACCCUCGGCCGAGGGGGCCCUGGCACCCAGGGCCGCCCGUCCCUCCCUUCCACGGCGGGCCCGAUCCGUGGCUUAGAGGCAAACGUCCGGGUCCAAGAGGCGGGGGGCCCGGCGGCCCCGGGGGUCUCGGUUUCCCCCCGAAAAGACCUUUCCUCCCACCCCGCUACUAA
This 1959-nucleotide long non-coding RNA is filed under the name Gadus morhua (Atlantic cod). Its description in RNAcentral is "lncRNA (ENSGMOG00000025431.1)". The record is from RNAcentral. Lineage: Eukaryota; Metazoa; Chordata; Actinopteri; Gadiformes; Gadidae.